RNAcentral lists this ribosomal RNA (433 nucleotides) under uncultured bacterium. Its description in RNAcentral is "partial 16S ribosomal RNA". It matches the Rfam family "Bacterial small subunit ribosomal RNA", at positions 29 to 507 of the family's 1533-position model. The record is from RNAcentral.
AACGAACGCUGGCGGCAUGCCUAACACAUGCAAGUCGAACGAAGGCUUCGGCCUUAGUGGCGCACGGGUGCGUAACGCGUGGGAAUCUGCCCUUUGGUUCGGAAUAACAGCUGGAAAUGGCUGCUAAUACCGGAUGAUGACGAAAGUCCAAAGAUUUAUCGCCAGAGGAUGAGCCCGCGUUGGAUUAGGUAGUUGGUGGGGUAAAGGCCUACCAAGCCGACGAUCCAUAGCUGGUCUGAGAGGAUGAUCAGCCACACUGGGACUGAGACACGGCCCAGACUCCUACGGGAGGCAGCAGUGGGGAAUAUUGGACAAUGGGCGCAAGCCUGAUCCAGCAAUGCCGCGUGAGUGGUGAAGGCCCUAGGGUUGUAAAGCUCUUUUACCCGGGAAGAUAAUGACUGUACCGGGAGAAUAAGCCCCGGCUAACUCCGUG